UACGAAGGGGGCUAGCGUUGCUCGGAAUCACUGGGCGUAAAGGGUGCGUAGGCGGGUCUUUAAGUCAGGGGUGAAAUCCUGGAGCUCAACUCCAGAACUGCCUUUGAUACUGAGGAUCUUGAGUUCGGGAGAGGUGAGUGGAACUGCGAGUGUAGAGGUGAAAUUCGUAGAUAUUCGCAAGAACACCAGUGGCGAAGGCGGCUCACUGGCCCGAUACUGACGCUGAGGCGCGAAAGCGUGGGGAGCAAACGGG
This 253-nucleotide ribosomal RNA is filed under the name uncultured bacterium. RNAcentral describes it as "partial 16S ribosomal RNA". It matches the Rfam family "Bacterial small subunit ribosomal RNA", at positions 524 to 776 of the family's 1533-position model. The record is from RNAcentral.